CCUAUGGGAGACAGCAGUGAGGAAUAUUGGUCAAUGGGCGCGAGCCUGAACCAGCCAAGUAGCGUGAAGGAUGACUGCCCUACGGGUUGUAAACUUCUUUUAUAAAGGAAUAAAGUGAGGCACGUGUGCCUUUUUGUAUGUACUUUAUGAAUAAGGAUCGGCUAACUCCGUGCCAGCAGCCGCGGUAAUACGGAGGAUCCGAGCGUUAUCCGGAUUUAUUGGGUUUAAAGGGAGCGUAGAUGGGUUGUUAAGUCAGUUGUGAAAGUUUGCGGCUCAACCGUAAAAUUGCAAUUGAUACUGGCAGUCUUGAGUACAGUUGAGGUAGGCGGAAUUCGUGGUGUAGCGGUGAAAUGCUUAGAUAUCACGAAGAACUCCGAUUGCGAAGGCAGCUUACUAAACUGCCACUGACAUUGAUGCUCGAAAGUGUGGGUAUCAAACAGGAUUAGAUACCCCAGUAGUC
RNAcentral lists this ribosomal RNA (460 nucleotides) under uncultured bacterium. Its description in RNAcentral is "partial 16S ribosomal RNA". It matches the Rfam family "Bacterial small subunit ribosomal RNA", at positions 338 to 795 of the family's 1533-position model. The record is from RNAcentral.